Molecule: ribosomal RNA, 408 nt
Filed under: uncultured microorganism
Description: bacterial SSU rRNA
Rfam family: Archaeal small subunit ribosomal RNA
Source: RNAcentral
GUGCACCAGUCGCGAAACUUUACAAUGUGCGAAAGCACGAUAAGGGAACUCUGAGUGCCUCCUAAGGAGGCUGUUCAGGUGUCUAAAAGCACCUGAAGGAAGGGCUGGGUAAGACCGGUGCCAGCCGCCGCGGUAACACCGGCAGCCCAAGUGGUAGCCACGUUUAUUGGGUCUAAAGCGUCCGUAGCCGGCUGGGUAAGUUCCUUGGGAAAUUUGGCUGCUUAACAGUCAAGCUUUCAGGGAAUACUGCCCGGCUUGGGACCGGGAGAGGUCAGAGGUACUCCAGGGGUAGGGGUGAAAUCCAUUAAUCCUUGGGGGACCACCGGUAGCGAAGGCGUCUGACCAGACCGGGUCCGACGGUGAGGGACGAAGGCUAGGGGCGCGAACCGGAUUAGAUACCCCUGUAGU